CUUAUCAAGAGUGGCUGAGGGAACAGGCCCUGUGAAGCCCGGCAACCUGCGCGCAGCGUAAGGUGCCAAGUCCUGCGGGAAACCGGAAGAUAAG
This 94-nucleotide non-coding RNA is filed under the name uncultured Gemmiger sp. Its description in RNAcentral is "SAM riboswitch (S box leader)". It matches the Rfam family "SAM riboswitch aptamer (S box leader)". From Rfam's summary of the family: The SAM riboswitch is found upstream of a number of genes which code for proteins involved in methionine or cysteine biosynthesis in Gram-positive bacteria. The SAM riboswitch acts at the level of transcription termination control. Lineage: Bacteria; Bacillati; Bacillota; Clostridia; Eubacteriales; Oscillospiraceae. The record is from RNAcentral.